GGAGUCUUGCUCUGUCCCCCAGGCUGGAGUGCAGUGGCACCAUCUCAGCUGAAUGCAACCUCUGCCUCCCGGGUUCAAGAGAUUCUCCUGCCUCAGCCUCCCAAGUAGCUGGGAUUACAGAAAGCAAAAGAUUCUUCAAAAUCAAAGUUGCUAGUAACACAAUAACAAAGCUGCUUUAUUUUCCAGUGAAGAUGUAUGUGAUAGUGAGUGGAGGAAGAAAAAGGCCAGAAAAUUCCAUAGUUAGCAAAUAUAUCUUUCUUACCUUUCUUACUUAAAAUUCUUUUUCCAACAUGAAACUUCUAAAGAGUUACUGAGAAAUUAGGUGAGCUCACCUCACUUAAUGCAAUAGAUAUGUUUCUGAAAAUAAGCAAUACAUACGACAUUGGCCAAUUAAGAAUUUUGAUGAAGAAGAAUUUUCACAUCCGAAAGAGUAAAAAAGAAAAACGGUACAAAUGUAGUGGCUUUUAAAUUUCAAAACAAAUUAUUUUGAUAAGAUAAAUAUUCCUCUCAUAAAGUGAAAAUGGAAGAGACUGCUUGCUGGGUGUUCGUCAAAAUGGAGUUAGAUGGUCUGUCCCAGACUCCCCUGUUGUUAGUUCUGAGAACAGAUGUAACGGUGCUUCUUCAGGACUGGCUCAUAGAAACCUGCCAUGUUCAGCCCCCACAAUCCUCUCCCUUCUGCUGGCUGGAAACAAAUGACAACGAAGCCUCACAUCUUGGAGAAACCACACUGUUGAGGAACUCAAGUCCUUGAAGAACCAUUUGAAGAGACCCACCUCACUAAAGAAAAUCACACAAGCAAGAAGUAAACUUCAUUGUAUCUAUGUAUUUAACUGUCAUAACAGUCUACCUUAACUGAUAAAGCAAAAAUUCGCUCCUUUUCCGGACACCCAGUUUCAAAA
Molecule: long non-coding RNA, 899 nt
Filed under: Pongo abelii (Sumatran orangutan)
Lineage: Eukaryota; Metazoa; Chordata; Mammalia; Primates; Hominidae
Description: lincRNA
Source: RNAcentral